GGAAAGAAGAGAUCUGAUUGGUUGCUAUGGGCAACUAAGCAACUUUUCCUUUGCACAGGUUUUAAUAAAUCUCCCCCUAUAUUCUGAUGGGGUCCUUAAUACCUGUAUGUGUUGACACACAUAUACAAAAUACACCCAGUUAAUGGACCUGAUGUUAGUCUAGCCACAUUUCACUAAAUCUCUGGAAAGUCUUGAUGCUUAUGAUCUGAGCACAGACAGAAAUACAGAGAAAGAUGACACCAGUAUAUAGACAACAGAAGAUCUACCAACAAUCACAAUAGCUGAAGCUCAGCCCAUCCCCCUCCCUGAGAAAUAAGCUCUGCACUGCCAGUCUGCAGUGUUCAUAUCCAUGGGGCGUGUUGUAAAGCAUAUCUCUAAGGGUAAUUAAUGUAAAAUGUGAACAACAGCUCCAGAUGGCAUUAGAUUUGAUAACUACAGCGGAGGCAGAUGCACUUGAUACAGUGUAUGGUAAACAACCUUUUCUCAAGAACAAU
Long non-coding RNA from Hyla sarda, 494 nucleotides. RefSeq lists it as uncharacterized. The record is from RefSeq and is a predicted model, not a curated record. The transcript has 3 exons. Lineage: Eukaryota; Metazoa; Chordata; Amphibia; Anura; Hylidae.